AUGAAAGGAAAGACUGUUGAAGCAGGACCAUCCGUUCGCCAGCAGUCCAAGGACAAGGGAAAGAAAGUGGUGUUGGAGAAAUCCGAGUUUCCGCCACUUGUUUACAAGGGAAAAGAGAAGAUGGUGGAGACACCCAACUCCAAGCUACCUGGGAAAAGAGGCGGCGUUGCGGUCAUAUUGCCGUCAGCGUCGUCUUCAACAGGAAGGCCCACCAACGCUCGGAAUAUACUUCGAGCCAAUGCUCCUGAGUUUGUCCCCUCACUGGCCCAUAAACCUAGUGAGGAAUGCUUGGGAAUAAUGCAAAAACGUUUCCUGGAAUGGAAGGGAGUGUACCUUACACCUGGUGACCUCAAAACAGGCCACAUAGAUCCAACAUUUGCACCAUCAGUUCCUCUGUUUGAAGAAGCACCCAUCUUAUGAGAGUCCUUUGAAGGUUCGUUUGAUCCAAUGCGACAUCAAUGGCGACAGAGAAAUGUCCGUCAAUCUUGGAUUGAUCUUCCAGCUGCCGUAGAUCAUGAUGCGGCGAGCCGACACCGUUCUCAUGUGAGCAUGUCUGUCAAGUGGAGAUGGAAAAACACUCGUCCAAAGAUCCAAGUUCAGAAUCCAGAUGAAUCAUAUGUUGUUCUUCCCGAUGCAUCCACAUCACAAAAUGAUGAGGGUGGUGCCAUCAUGCGACUGGUGGAGGCCCUGGCCCAACGACCUGAGUACCAAGAGCAGCAGCAUCCUAAACACCAAGAGUAUGUGAACCAAGCUGCUUGUGUCCGUUCAAGAAGGGCGAUGUACAAAGAAAGAGAAAGGGCAGCACGGGCAAGGUCUGGGUCGAGCAGAGUCCAAGGGGCAGAACACAUUCCAUCGGAUGAGGACAUUCGGGCUAAAACCAAGAAUAAAUCAUUCGAGGUGUUCCAAGCAAUGCCAGUUGGUGUCAGGGCGGCGUCACACAAGACCAGCGAAACAUCCUCCACAUCAAUACAUUUCAAGAGGAAGAAGGCACGCAAAACUGUCGUAGAAGGUCCUCAUUGUAAGACACGAAGCCAAAAGGGUUCAGAUUAUGAAGAACUUGGGUCCAGCUGUGGUGGGUCUUAUAAUCCCCUAUCGGACAGUACCCCUUGUCCUUAUGAAAAUGAGAUAGAACUCCGCCAUAGUGCAGAGCAU
RNAcentral lists this ribosomal RNA (1152 nucleotides) under Triticum aestivum (bread wheat). RNAcentral describes it as "partial small subunit ribosomal RNA". The record is from RNAcentral. Lineage: Eukaryota; Viridiplantae; Streptophyta; Magnoliopsida; Poales; Poaceae.